UGCCAGCCGCCGCGGUAAGACGGAGGGUGCUAGCGUUGUUCGGAUUUACUGGGCGUAAAGGGCGCGUAGGCGGCUUUGUAAGUCGGGUGUGAAAGCCCGGGGCUCAACCCCGGAACGGCACUCGAGACUGUGAGGCUGGAGAUCGGAAGAGGAGAGUGGAAUACCCAGUGUAGAGGUGAAAUUCGUAGAUAUUGGGUGGAACACCGGUGGCGAAAGCGGCUCUCUGGGCCGAUAUUGACGCUGAGGCGCGAAGGCGUGGGUAGCGAACGGGAUUAGAUA
Molecule: ribosomal RNA, 279 nt
Filed under: uncultured bacterium
Lineage: Bacteria
Description: partial 16S ribosomal RNA
Rfam family: Bacterial small subunit ribosomal RNA
Source: RNAcentral